GUCUUAUAUAUAGCAACAUGAGGGGUGCCACCAUGUGGAGUAGGAUCUGCUCAACCUUCCAGAGCACCUGAGAUCACCCCAGAUUUUGGAGGGGUUCAUGUUCAUAGCUAAGUUUUGGGUUUUAUGUACUAUUGUUUGUUUUUCUUUUUUUAGCCAUUGCAUUUUCAGUUUAUUUUGGACUUUUUUUCUUAGUUUAAAUGCAUUUGAUAUCUUUUGCCUAUCUCUCAUAGGUUAUAUAGUUAUGUGCACUUAUAUCUGUUGCUGUAUUGUUUAUAUCAGCAGGCUUGCACCUUUGGCCAUACCUUUAAUUGUUAUGUUUUGUAUUCUUGUAACCGCAUGGCAAUAUUUAACCUUUAAGAAUUAAAUGCUAAUAAAAUAUGGUCACAUGAUAUGCUUAAAGUGGUAUCUCUUCCUGCAUUCAUGCUAAUAAAAUAUGGCCACAUGAUA
This 447-nucleotide long non-coding RNA is filed under the name Mytilus galloprovincialis (Mediterranean mussel). Lineage: Eukaryota; Metazoa; Mollusca; Bivalvia; Mytilida; Mytilidae. The record is from RNAcentral.